UUUACAUGCGGCGUAACUUGCGUAAGCGUAACUUGCGCCAAACUCCGUCAGCCAAUCAAAUCGUUUCAUCUACUAUAUGCAUAUCCGCUUAGUUAUUUAACGCAUUUUACGCUUUUGCCGAUACGCCAAAUCCAAUUUUUCACGUAAAUCGGUAAUGCAUAUGUAUUAGUGAUGUGUGUGUACGUGCGAUCACCAAGUAUUGUAAUGUAAUUUGACUCACAAAAAUUAGAAAAAAUGGAUCAAAUUCAGUUGAAAAAAAAUCCAAUGGUUGACAGAAAAGAAAAUUUGGAUGAACUAUUAAUCGAAGCAGUUAGAAGCAAACGUGGGCUGUAUGAUUCUUGUAUACCUGCUUCGGAGAGAACUAUGUUGCGCAAAAAUGCAUUAUGGAUGGAAGUUUUGAAUAUACUACAAGGAUUUCUCAGUCCAGAGAAAGCUAAAGCUCGAUGGAAGUAUCUGUGAGAUAAUUAUAUAAAAGCUCGCAAGAAGAUUCGAGCAUACAUACCCAGUAGAUCGGCAGCUACUGCUACUAAAACCAAUAAUAACUCGAGGUUUCAAUAUUAUGAGCUUAUGAGAUUCCUGAACGAAUCAUUGCAAACACGACAGACAGUAAGUUCAUUACCAGAUGCCAGUGCUAAGAAUGAAGUAGUCACUUCAUUUGACACA
This is a long non-coding RNA of Pseudomyrmex gracilis, 663 nucleotides long. RefSeq lists it as uncharacterized. The transcript is spliced from 4 exons. NCBI's taxonomy places the organism in Eukaryota, Metazoa, Arthropoda, Insecta, Hymenoptera, Formicidae. The record is from RefSeq and is a predicted model, not a curated record.